GAACAACUUGAAAUUGAACACAUAAAUUUACUCGCUCCUGUGUAGCCCCUCCUAGUGAGCGGUCGAAAAUGUUACUUUGCGGAGGCCGUAGAUUCAAUAUAUUGGCGCCACCAACCCCAUUCUCAUUUGGGACUUUCAUCAAACACCUUGCAACUCCUUCAAAAUCCUCAAACCUUUCACUCACCGCAAAAUCAUUUACCACUAGCGCAAGCACAAAUGUCUUCAGCUCUUACCGUUUUGAAGCACUAAACUCGCGUCAAAAAGAACAAGUGCAUCUCUACAUUGAUUCCCUCCUUGAAUGGAACCAGAGAAUGAAUCUUACUGCCGUAAAAGAGGAGAGUGAGGUUAUGGAAAGGCACGUUGAAGACUCACUUUCAAUCAUAGAACCGAUUCGGACUUCGUAUGUUUCACAUUGUGGAACUUCGUCUGAGAAUCUCAAUCUCGUUGAUGUUGGAAGUGGUGCUGGACUUCCUGGAAUAAUUUUGGCCAUUGCUUCCCCUGGUUGGAAAGUGACUCUUCUUGAGUCUAUGAAUAAGCGUUGUUCCUUCCUGGAGCAUGUGGUUAGUGAGAUUGGUCUAUCAAAUGUUCAAGUUAAGAGAGAAAGAGCUGAGACGCUGGGGCAAGAUGUCAACUUCAGAGAGUCUUUUGAUGUUGCAGUUGCCAGAGCAGUUGCAGAAAUGAGAAUUUUAGCUGAAUAUUGCCUUCCUCUAGUCCGAACUGGUGGUAUCUUUCUAGCUGCAAAAGGUCAUGAUCCUCAGGAGGAAGUAGAUAGAGCAGAGAGAGCAAUACAACUGAUGGGAGCCUCUCUAUUGCAAAUUCGCUGUGGAUUGAGGUCAAUGCGCUGGGCUUUCCUCAGCCUGAAGAAUCAAUUAUAAGCAGUAUCACAUCUUCUUACUUGUAACUUUGAAAGUGAAGAUAUCAGAUAUCUUGCUGUUAUGUCACAGUAUGAUAGUUGAUUCCCACAGUAAACAUGGACAGAGAACUGCCAUAAUUUGUUUGAAAGGUAAACCUACGCCAAAGAAAUAUCCUCGAGAUCCAGGAACUCCAGCUAAGAUUCCACUCUGAGAGAAAUGUUGUCUUACCUCCUUAUCUUCCAAUUGUACAGUUAAUGUAUGAUGGAGGGAAAUUUGUAUUUCAGUAGCCUUUCUCUCGAGUUUAGAAGCACAAACAUUGUACUCAUAGAUUGCUGGAAGCAGUACUAUUAGUACCUUGAGAAGGUACACCACACAGAUUUGGCUUCAAUUCUGUCCACUAAGAUGAAUGUAUAUUACAUCCACACAAUAGUUUUAUUAUUUUGUCUUCUUGCGGUUUUGAAUUAAACAAUUUUUGUAAAUAUCAUUGUCUUGACUAACAAAGACCUAAAUGGCCGCCACACUCACGUGCCAGUUGGUGAUUCAA
Lycium ferocissimum is the source of this 1398-nucleotide RNA transcript. RefSeq lists it as uncharacterized. The record is from RefSeq and is a predicted model, not a curated record. The transcript has 8 exons. NCBI's taxonomy places the organism in Eukaryota, Viridiplantae, Streptophyta, Magnoliopsida, Solanales, Solanaceae.